CACGUAGGGGGCAAGCGUUGUCCGGAAUUAUUGGGCGUAAAGAGCUCGUAGGCGGCUCGGUAAGUCAGGUGUCAAAUCCUCAGGCUCAACCUGGGGCUCCACCUGAUACUGCUGUGGCUAGAGUACGGAAGAGGCGAGUGGAAUUCCUGGUGUAGCGGUGAAAUGCGCAGAUAUCAGGAGGAACACCGAUUGCGAAGGCAGCUCGCUGGGACGUUACUGACGCUGAGACGCGAAAGCGUGGGGAGCAAACAGG
This 253-nucleotide ribosomal RNA is filed under the name uncultured bacterium. Its description in RNAcentral is "partial 16S ribosomal RNA". It matches the Rfam family "Bacterial small subunit ribosomal RNA", at positions 524 to 776 of the family's 1533-position model. The record is from RNAcentral.